AUGCUUGCUUUGGCAGCACAUAUACUAAAUUUGGAAGAUACAGAGGUUAGCAUUGCCCCUGCACAAGGAUAACACACAAAUUCAUGAAUUCAUAAUAAAAAAAAAUUUU
Molecule: small nuclear RNA, 109 nt
Organism: Vulpes vulpes (red fox)
Lineage: Eukaryota; Metazoa; Chordata; Mammalia; Carnivora; Canidae
Source: Ensembl